UCGAACGGAAAUUGUGUCUAGCACAAAGUUAAUUAUUUCUUGUUCCCCUUGUUAUGCCCAAGCAUAUGUCGGUUUAUUUUUAUUUAUUGACUAUUUUGGCGUAUAACAAGUGUGGAGCAAUGAUUCUAAUUAAUUUCGUGCUAGGCAUGAAAUCAGUGGCGGACGGGUGAGUAUAAGCAAGGAACGUACCCUUUACUGUGGCAUAGCUCGUCGAAAGACGGGGUAAUAUCGCAUGACCCUUCACGGGGAAAGAAGCUAACCCUUCGGUAAAGGAGCGGCCUUGUUCCUAUCAGCUAGUUGGUGGGGUAAUGGCCUACCAAGGCUCUGACGGGUAGGGGGCGUGAGAGCGCGACCCCCCACAAUGGCACUGAGACACGGGCCAUACAUCUACGGAUGGCAGCAACUGGGAAUCGUUGGCAAUGGACGAAAGUCUGACCACGCGACGCCGCGUGAGGGAUGAAGUAUUUCGGUAUGUAAACCUCUUUUACGAAGUCGUCAUGGCUUCGAGAAUAAGCAUCUACUAACUACGUGCCAGCAGUCGCGGUAAUACGUAGGGUGCAAGCGUUAUCCGGAUUCACUGGGCGUAAAGGGUCGUGUAGGUGGUUUAUCGCAUCGUGCUUGAAAGCCCGAGGCUCAACCUCGGCGUUGGGCACGAGAUGGAUAGACUAGAGGGAGGUAGAGGAAAGGGGAACUCAUGGUGGAGCAGUGAAAUGCGUUGAUAUCAUGAGGAACACCA
RNAcentral lists this ribosomal RNA (736 nucleotides) under uncultured bacterium. RNAcentral's name for it is "bacterial SSU rRNA". It matches the Rfam family "Bacterial small subunit ribosomal RNA", at positions 62 to 711 of the family's 1533-position model. The record is from RNAcentral.